ACCUCCCAUAGUCAAAAGAAGACUUCUCCGUCCUCGGCCAAACUAUCGGCCUCCAACUCCACGGCGACGUCGCCGACUUCUUUGCUCCACCGCCUCCCUCUUCUGUCUCCCUCCUCCGUCCCUCCCUGCUUAAAAAUGAGUCUCUCCCUACUUUCCUAUAAUAAGGCAGUGACAGAGAUUUCUAGGUUUCCCACAAAUUUGUGACAGUUUGGAGGCAAAGAAAAAGAGGACGAAGAAUAUAACGGAGGAAGUUGGGGAAUUUGUUCUCAAGAUUUCCA
RNAcentral lists this long non-coding RNA (278 nucleotides) under Panax ginseng (ginseng). RNAcentral describes it as "long non-coding RNA (PGIN_LNC013496)". Lineage: Eukaryota; Viridiplantae; Streptophyta; Magnoliopsida; Apiales; Araliaceae. The record is from RNAcentral.